UACGAAGGGGGCUAGCGUUGUUCGGAAUUACUGGGCGUAAAGCGUGCGCAGGCGGCUUCUCAAGUCAGGGGUGAAAGCCCAGAGCUCAACUCUGGAACUGCCUUUGAGACUGAGUGGCUUGAGUACGAGAGAGGUGAGUGGAAUUCCCAGUGUAGAGGUGAAAUUCGUAGAUAUCAGGAGGAACACCGAUGGCGAAGGCAGGUCUCUGGGCUGACACUGACGCUCAUGCACGAAAGCGUGGGGAGCAAACAGG
Molecule: ribosomal RNA, 253 nt
Filed under: uncultured bacterium
Lineage: Bacteria
Description: partial 16S ribosomal RNA
Rfam family: Bacterial small subunit ribosomal RNA
Source: RNAcentral